UGGGGAAUAUUGCACAAUGGGCGCAAGCCUGAUGCAGCCAUGCCGCGUGUGUGAAGAAGGCCUUCGGGUUGUAAAGCACUUUCAGCGGGGAGGAAGGCGAUAAGGUUAAUAACCUUGUCGAUUGACGUUACCCGCAGAAGAAGCACCGGCUAACUCCGUGCCAGCAGCCGCGGUAAUACGGAGGGUGCAAGCGUUAAUCGGAAUUACUGGGCGUAAAGCGCACGCAGGCGGUCUGUCAAGUCGGAUGUGAAAUCCCCGGGCUCAACCUGGGAACUGCAUUCGAAACUGGCAGGCUAGGGUCUUGUAGAGGGGGGUAGAAUUCCAGGUGUAGCGGUGAAAUGCGUAGAGAUCUGGAGGAAUACCGGUGGCGAAGGCGGCCCCCUGGACAAAGACUGACGCUCAGGUGCGAAAGCGUGGGGAGCAAACAGG
This 429-nucleotide ribosomal RNA is filed under the name Chloroflexota bacterium. RNAcentral describes it as "Chloroflexi bacterium partial 16S ribosomal RNA". It matches the Rfam family "Bacterial small subunit ribosomal RNA", at positions 355 to 776 of the family's 1533-position model. Lineage: Bacteria; Bacillati; Chloroflexota. The record is from RNAcentral.